CUUAGUAAGUGCAUUUAUUGAAGAUGAGCUGUGUUUUUAGAAGUCAAUUGCUAAUUAGUGAAACAGACAAGAAAAUGAUUCGACAGUACUGCCCAACUGUAGGAAAAGGUUCCUGCUUGAAUUCCUGCCCUGACUUCCCUCAAGAUCAACUGAACGAACCAUUCUCUUCCUCAAGUUGCUUUUGGUCAUGGUUGGUGUUUAUCACAGCAACAGAAGCGUAACUAGAGCAUCGGGGGUCCCAGACUGAAUAAAAAGAGACAAUAAAGAAGGCACUGCAUCCAUCUCUCUGUGCUUCCUGACUGUGGAAGCAUUGGGACCAGCCAUCUCAGGCUCUAGCUGCCGUGACAUCCCCCAUCAUGAUGGAUGGCACCCUUGAACUGUGAACCAGAAUCAUCCUGUUCUUCCUUAAGCUAUGGACAUGCUGAAGUCACUUACUGAUGCAAUGGUUCCCUGCCAGUGUUCCUGGAGCCGUCUGUGGAAAGUCCUUGAAAGGGAGAGGUCCAAACAUUGAUGGCUUAUAUUCUACCUUCAGUGAACUGUGAAUGCCUCUGCAUCUGAGAGUUGCAGUUAAUCAUUUGAAAACAUGCUAAGAAACUUGGAAUUUUGAAUGUGCAA
Molecule: long non-coding RNA, 615 nt
Organism: Peromyscus eremicus (cactus mouse)
Lineage: Eukaryota; Metazoa; Chordata; Mammalia; Rodentia; Cricetidae
Exons: 3
Source: RefSeq, a predicted model, not a curated record